UGAAAUUGUUUUACUGUAAAGCGUCACAUAUAUAAGUCUAUUGAAAGUGUUGUUACGUUUCAUAUGUUGUACUGUUCGUAAAUGAUAAUGCUAUGUUGUCUAUUAAGUCCACGGCACAUAAAGUGUUUUCUAGCAUAAUAUAUUGUAUAUAAUAUAUACUGUCUUUUAAGUUUAUUGAAAGGAUAUUCCUAUCAUUGGUUAAUUUGUACUGUUCUACUAUAAAAUUGAUUUCUCUUUUCACGAUUUGUACUGUCUAUUAAGUCUAUUGAACGUGUGUUCCUAUCUUUGGUUAAUUUGUACUGUUCUACUAUAAAAUUGAUUUCUCUUUUCACGAUUUGUACUGUCUAUUAAG
RNAcentral lists this long non-coding RNA (352 nucleotides) under Mytilus galloprovincialis (Mediterranean mussel). The record is from RNAcentral. Lineage: Eukaryota; Metazoa; Mollusca; Bivalvia; Mytilida; Mytilidae.